Molecule: long non-coding RNA, 269 nt
Organism: Varroa destructor (honeybee mite)
Lineage: Eukaryota; Metazoa; Arthropoda; Arachnida; Mesostigmata; Varroidae
Source: RefSeq, a predicted model, not a curated record
AUUCAAGUGAAGUUCCGCUACUCGAGUCCUUCUUGCUGAAAUACUGCAAAUGAGCGAAAUGCAUUGCCAGAACACGAAUAAGUAGGCCAAGGAACGGAAGAAAAGUCGAAAAUAGAUCUACGCGUCGUGCACCGACGACUUAUUGCGCAUGCAUCAGCCCAGGAAGAACAAACAAAGAUACAGCGAAUGACUUCUAUUGUAGAAGAAAAGCAUUUACCACUGCACUGUCACCGUAGAGCCUUUCCGUCCUGUGUCCAGCAAAAUACAAG